AACGAACGCUGGCGGCGUGGAUAAGACAUGCAAGUCGAACGGGAUACUGUGAGUAGCAAUACAAGCAGUGUCUAGUGGCGAACGGGUGCGUAACACGUGGAUACAUUCCGGGAAGCGGGGGAUAGCCCAGGGAAACUUGGAUUAAUACCGCAUGUGAUCGAGAGAUCAAAGACGGGGACCGCAAGGCCUGUCACUUCCCGAUUGGUCCGCGGCCUAUCAGCUAGUUGGCGGGGUAAAAGCCCACCAAGGCGACGACGGGUAGCUGGUCUUAGAGGACGACCAGCCACACUGGAACUGAGACACGGUCCAGACACCUACGGGUGGCAGCAGUCGAGAAUCUUUCACAAUGGGGGCAACCCUGAUGGAGCGACGCCGCGUGGAGGAUAAGGUCUUCGGAUUGUAAACUCCUGUCAUGCGAGAACAAGGUUGCAGGGAUAAUACCUUUGCAAAUUGAUGUACCG
Molecule: ribosomal RNA, 461 nt
Filed under: uncultured bacterium
Lineage: Bacteria
Description: bacterial SSU rRNA
Rfam family: Bacterial small subunit ribosomal RNA
Source: RNAcentral